UGAGGUAGUAGUUUGUAUAGUUUUAGGAUCACACCAGAUCUGGGAGAUAACUAUACAGUCUACUGUCUUUCC
Molecule: microRNA precursor, 72 nt
Organism: Astyanax mexicanus (Mexican tetra)
Lineage: Eukaryota; Metazoa; Chordata; Actinopteri; Characiformes; Acestrorhamphidae
Gene: MIRLET7F2
Product: microRNA let-7f-2
Source: Ensembl